UUGGAUCCUGGCCUGGGGGUAAAAAUAAAGUGUUUCUGUCUCCACCAAUUCCAGGAAAGGCUGGAGGCAUUCCUCCAAUGGGAACCUUGAAGCCUUCGGUAGAGGUGGAGACUGGUGACCCCGCUCUUGCUCCAGCCAGAGGGAGUAUUCGCGAGAUCCUGCCGCUGGCCCCUGGCGCCACUUCGUCCGCGGUACUGGCGGCGCACACGGCCGGGGUGUCGGGCCAGCGUGUGGCGGAGGAUCCUGCAGGUGGCAAAGAGAGGGCGAAUCCUCCUGCGGCCCCUAGAGGGCAACCAGAUUACAAAACACCCAGCAAGUGCAUUCUAAAUCAUUCUAAGAAUUUUCAACCCGAGGUAAAGAUCUCCCAGAACAUGAGGAUAAUUCCAGUGAGUACCUGAUUUUCUUUAUAAAGAAGCGUCAAUGUCUCUUCUUUUUCAUGCCAAUUUAAAUUUUUCUGGUAAACCUGUGUACUCCAAUUUGAUGUCUUCCUGAGUUUAAAGAGCAUUCUUAAUCCUAAUUUCCCUUUUUAUUACGUAGCUAACAGCCUUAUGCUAUCUAUACUGCAAAAUACUUCUCACAUGAGAAAUGUAAGAGGUUUUUCACUGGUAGUCUGCUGAGUUGGACACAGAUCUUCACAGACAUAUGUACUACCCAAAAGUUUUGCCAUACUUUGAAUUCCGGAUCCCUCUGAGUUGUGCCCUUCUGUAUUAAAAGUCUUUCAGUUUGCAGGCUUAGUUUAUUCAUGAGGCUUUUGUUGUAAAUUAUCCUUCGUUAGCUUUCGGUUAGGUUUCAAUUAGCACUGUCAUUGUGUAUACUCAUCUGGCUAACCACAUUUUUUAUUCUCAACCAAACAUGUAUUUAUAUUUAGCCAAACACAGAUUCUGGAAAUCAAACCAAAGCUUAGUGGCAGUUUGCUUCAAAUGAGGUAAUAGAGUGAGACCUCAGUUUGCACAGGCUCAAUCAAGACUUGAUAUAAAGGAGAACGUUCUAAAAUUCUUCAGGGUAAGGUAUCACGCAGAUGGCUUCUUGUUUUGCCUUAAGUAGUGUCAAUUCCAAGACUAUCAGGUCCUAUAUUUUGAAAAGCAGCAUGAAAAUAAAUACCAAAAGCAGAACCUAUGCAUGGGCUGCAUUCACCGCUGCUUGGAGUUUGCUAAGCCACUAUUCUCUAAGAACAUGUAAAGUAUUUUUUCACAGGACUUGUAUUUUAUCUUUCCAGAACUUCACUUUAUUCUCCAAAAACAGAGAUUGCUGAAUCUUGAGUGGGGGGAAGAGGGAUUUGAUCAUGCAUGAGUUGAUUCUGAAAAUGUAGAAAAAAGUAAAGAGACUUGAUUGCAAUGUGCUACUGUUUGGAACAGUGAACGGUAUAGGAGACAACUGGGCUCUUUUAUAUAAAAUGGUAAUUUCUCCUCUACAGAUUCCUCCUUUGAUAUAGAAAUGGCUGUAGUUUCCAAUCAUGGCAAAGGCCGGGCUGUUGCUUCCACCAAAACCUCUGCUGUGAUGGUUGUUUUUGUUCAAGAUUGUUUGUUCAUUGUCCCUUGCAAUUCCAUGUGAAUUUGAAGAUUGGCUUCUCCAUCUCUGCAAAAUGGAUGCUUAAAUUUUUAUAGGGACUGCAUUGAAUCUGCAGAUCAUUCUGGGUAGUAUUAACAUCAUAACAAUAGUAAGUCUUCCAAUCCAUGAACAUAGGGUGUUCUUCCAUUCCUUUUUAUCUUUAAUUUGUUUCUUUUUAGUACUAGGGAUUGAACCCAGGACAUUGUACAUACUGAUUGAAUCUGUAGAUAAUUUUGGCUGGUAUUAACAGCUUAACAAUAUUAUGACUCCAUAAACAUGGAGCAGCUUUCGAUUCCUUUAGCUCUUAUUUUAACUUGGUACUAGGGAUUGAACGCAGGGCCAAGUACAUGCUUUACCACUGAGCUACAUUCCAGACUUUUGAGACAGUGUGGAGGCCAGGCUAGCCUUGAAUUCACUAUGUUGUGUAGGCUAGCCUUGAAUUUGCAAUAGUCCGCCUCAGCCUCCCAAAUACUGGAACUGUAGGCAUACGCCAACAAGCUUUUUAUUUUUUGACAGUCUCACUAUGUAGCUCAGGCUGGCCUCAAACUCAUGGUGAUCCUCCUGCCUCAGCUUCCUGAUGCUGGAAUUACAGGUAUGUGCCACCACACCUGGCUCUUUACUUUCUUAAAGCAAUUUUUAAAGUUUUUAUGCAUGUCUUUUAGGCAUUUUAUUCUUUUAGAUGCUAUUGUGAAAUGGAAUUGCUUUUAAAUUUUGGAUUAUUCAUUGCUAGUGAUUUUUGAGCUUAUGCCCUACUUUGCUGAAUGUUACCUGUUUUUUCCUGAAUCUGAAAUGCCUUUAAUGAAAAUCAAUGAUCGAUUGUAUUACUUUUGUUCUAUUAAUACGAUGUAUUACCUUCACAGAUUUUUGCCAAAGACCUUGCAUUCCUAAGGUAAAUCCCACUUGAUCAUGUUGUACAAUACUUUUAAUCUUGUCAGAUUUGGCUUUUUUUCAUAUCAUCUGUAUUUAUAAGGGAUAUUGUCAUUUUCUUAGGAUGUAUUUUUCUGGUUUUCGUAAGGUCAAAUUUUUCAAUGUGGAAAUAUUUAUUAGCAAUCCUGGAUGUACUUUGUUAACAGAGGAAGCUAUAUUUCUGAGGUGUUCCACUGAAUUCAAGCAACAAGGGUUGCAAGAAAUACGGGGUCUUCUAUCCUGCAGACAUGGACUCAGCUCCAGACAACCCAGUAUAAUAAAAGGAAAAAAACAAAACCAAAAGUGUUUAUUGAUUGAGACACGAACUCAACAGUAGUCUGUGUAUGAUGGGGUGGGGUGGGGGUGCCAUGUCUGAAAACUGAUGCAAUGCGGGGUGGGCCCAUACUUGGGAGGACUCCUACCCUGGGCCCAACAGUUCUUCUAAACUGUGAGCUGCUCCAUUAUUUCUUCCUUUCCCAUCUGGCUACUUCUAGCUGCUGGCUGGCUGCCUUGGACUGGUAGCGAAGUGCCAAGAUUGGGUCCUUUCCUCAAGUCUCUUAUUAUAUAAAUCAUUUCAUGAGCAAUUCCAGAUAGGUGAGCAGAUAAAAUGAUAGCCUUUUCCCCUCAACUGGCACCUGGGGUCAAACUAUGCCCAGUAGUUUGAAACUGCCCUCUACCUUUGUCGAGCUCAACCCCAGAUAGGCUAAAUGAGGGAGGCACACCUUCCAUCACUCAAACCGGAGUGUGGGCCUUCUUAUUCAUCACUAGGUUGCUAUUAGCUGGAAAUUCUGGGACAGAGAAAUGGAAAAAGAAUCUCUCAACACGAAUGAGGAAGGGUGAAAUACCACGGCGCUGUGCCAAGUUCCUGAGAUAAGGAUGAGGACCUGGCUUUUAGUACCUCUGUGUAGUCCCUGGAGAGGAAGGAAAGCCCUUGAAGAGCCAGGCAUGAUAGGAAGCUGGCUGGCUUAAAGAGGGUUUCCAUGUUCUUCCUCCUCUGUGCCCUUACAUCCUGGGCAGACUGCACACAGAUUACUUAGGACCACAAAGAAAGGUUAGGGGUCCCUUUAGGAAUCAGAUGCAAGCUGGCCAGUCGUGCCUGAAAACACAUGUAUGCUGAUACCCACAAAAACAUGUGAACAGUCUCUGGGUAUGAUCCUUGAUCUAGCCCAGGGCCCACAUCUGAAAGAUUUCGCAGGGCUGAGAUCUGCCCAACUACAAUGGGGCCAUUAAUGAGCUUGAAACCAUUAUGCCAAGUGAAAGACGCCAGACACAAAGGAUCACACAUUUUAUAAUUUCAUUUAUAUAAAAAGUCCAGAGUACGCAAAUGGAGAAUGAGGGAGGAAGGCAGGAAGGGACACCUAGAGUGGAGUUUGGGGGGGGUGAUAAAAACAUUCUAAAAUUUUUUGUAGUGAUAGUCCCACAACUCUGAAUACUACAAGCCACUGGAAUUGUACACUUCAAGUAGGUGAACUUUAUGGUAUUUGAAUUUUACUUCAAUAAAGCAGUUUUUAAAAAGUGAACUGAGGGACUGCAAAUAACCAUACACCUGGGCUUUGGUCCCAGUUCAUGAGGAGCACAAUCAAUGUAAACUUCAGGGAUGAGUCCCUAAAUGUAGCAUAUGCAUUAGACAGGAACACAUUCUAGAAAGAGUAAGAUUAUAUAUAUAAUCUUGAUUUUUUUUUUUU
RNAcentral lists this transfer RNA (4139 nucleotides) under Fukomys damarensis (Damara mole-rat). RNAcentral describes it as "lncRNA (ENSFDAG00000023906.1)". Lineage: Eukaryota; Metazoa; Chordata; Mammalia; Rodentia; Bathyergidae. The record is from RNAcentral.